RNAcentral lists this ribosomal RNA (626 nucleotides) under uncultured bacterium. Its description in RNAcentral is "bacterial SSU rRNA". It matches the Rfam family "Bacterial small subunit ribosomal RNA", at positions 338 to 958 of the family's 1533-position model. The record is from RNAcentral.
CCUACGGGAGGCAGCAGUGGGGAAUUUUGGACAAUGGGCGCAAGCCUGAUCCAGCAAUGCCGCGUGAGUGAAGAAGGCCUUCGGGUUGUAAAGCUCUUUUGUCAGGGAAGAAACGGUGGGGGCUAAUAUCCCUCGCUAAUGACGGUACCUGAAGAAUAAGCACCGGCUAACUACGUGCCAGCAGCCGCGGUAAUACGUAGGGUGCAAGCGUUAAUCGGAAUUACUGGGCGUAAAGCGUGCGCAGGCGGUUUUGUAAGUCUGUCGUGAAAGCCCCGGGCUCAACCUGGGAAUUGCGAUGGAGACUGCAAGGCUUGAAUCUGGCAGAGGGGGGUAGAAUUCCACGUGUAGCAGUGAAAUGCGUAGAGAUGUGGAGGAACACCGAUGGCGAAGGCAGCCCCCUGGGUCAAGAUUGACGCUCAUGCACGAAAGCGUGGGGAGCAAACAGGAUUAGAUACCCUGGUAGUCCACGCCCUAAACGAUGUCUACUAGUUGUCGGGUUUUAAUUAACUUGGUAACGCAGCUAACGCGUGAAGUAGACCGCCUGGGGAGUACGGUCGCAAAGAUUUAAAAACUUCAAAAUGAAGUUAGUAGCGNGNGAGAGCGACGACGACGACGAGGAGGAGGNG